AGUCGGCGUACAGGGCCGGGCACGCGUGCCCAAUCCGGUGCCGAGGGGGAUGAGCCUCGCCAGCAGCGGCCUAUGGCCGGAAAGGCGGAACAUCAAGUGUCGGGCGAUAGGGUUUGGUAGGCCGUAUAAACGGCUCGAAGAAGCCUGGCCCG
This is a non-coding RNA of Paraprevotella clara YIT 11840, 152 nucleotides long. Lineage: Bacteria; Pseudomonadati; Bacteroidota; Bacteroidia; Bacteroidales; Prevotellaceae. The record is from Rfam.